GCUCUUUUUAGAGGUCCGACCAAUUACAUUUUACCUUUACUCUGUGCACACACUACUCUUUACACCAUUUUUUAACUCUAUAGUUUUAAGAAUGUAAAACAAGUCUCGAAAGAGCAACAUAACAAAACAAAACUUUCGGCAACGGAUCUCUUGGCUCUCGCAUCGAUGAAGAACGCAGCCAAGGAUCAUUAAUGAAAUUCAGGACGCUCUUUUUAGAGGUCCGACCAAUUACAUUUUACCUUUACUCUGUGCACACACUACUCUUUACACCAUUUUUUAACUC
RNAcentral lists this unclassified non-coding RNA (283 nucleotides) under Symmetrospora coprosmae. RNAcentral describes it as "sequence contains 5.8S rRNA gene, ITS2". Lineage: Eukaryota; Fungi; Basidiomycota; Cystobasidiomycetes; Symmetrosporaceae. The record is from RNAcentral.